GGAAGGCCCCUGUCACAAAGCCUACCUAGAUGGAUAGAGGACCCAAGCGAAAAAGGAGCAGACAUUCAUAUAGGUGAUACUGUAUUUCAGUCCUUUCUUUUGACCCCAGAAGCCCUAGACUGAGAAGAUAAAAUGGUCAGGUUGUUGGGGAAAAAAAAGUGCCAGGCUCUCUAGAGAAAAAUGUGAAGAGAUGCUCCAGGCCAAUGAGAAGAAUUAGACAAGAAAUACACAGAUGUGCCAGACUUCUGAGAAGCACCUGCCAGCAACAGCUUCCUUCUUUGAGCUUAGUUUCUGGCAUCACUACCACUACUGAUUAAACAAGAAUAAGAGAACAUUUUAUCAUCAUCUGCUUUAUUCACAUAAAUGAAGUUGUGAUGAAUAAAUCUGCUUUUAUGCAGACACAAGGAAUUAAGUGGCUUCGUCAUUGUCCUUCUACCUCAAAGAUAAUUUAUUCCAAAAGCUAAGAUAAAUGGAAGACUCUUGAACUUGUGAACUGAUGUGAAAUGCAGAAUCUCUUUUGAGUCUUUGCUGUUUGGAAGAUUGAAAAAUAUUGUUCAGCAUGGGUGACCACCAGAAAGUAAUCUUAAGCCAUCUAGAUGUCACAAUUGAAACAAACUGGGGAGUUGGUUGCUAUUGUAAAAUAAAAUAUACUGUUUUGAAAA
This 662-nucleotide long non-coding RNA is filed under the name Homo sapiens (human). Its description in RNAcentral is "HSALNT0407917". Lineage: Eukaryota; Metazoa; Chordata; Mammalia; Primates; Hominidae. The record is from RNAcentral.